This 515-nucleotide ribosomal RNA is filed under the name bacterium enrichment culture clone ALO1_GLFRUDD03FQHHR. RNAcentral describes it as "bacterial SSU rRNA". It matches the Rfam family "Bacterial small subunit ribosomal RNA", at positions 9 to 517 of the family's 1533-position model. The record is from RNAcentral.
GAGUUUGAUCGUGGCUCAGAUUGAACGCUGGCGGCAGGCCUAACACAUGCAAGUCGAGCGGAUGACGGGAGCUUGCUCCUUGAUUCAGCGGCGGACGGGUGAGUAAUGCCUGGGAAUCUGCCUGGUAGUGGGGGACAACGUUUCGAAAGGAACGCUAAUACCGCAUACGUCCUACGGGAGAAAGCAGGGGACCUUCGGGCCUUGCGCUAUCAGAUGAGCCUAGGUCGGAUUAGCUAGUUGGUGGGGUAAUGGCUCACCAAGGCGACGAUCCGUAACUGGUCUGAGAGGAUGAUCAGUCACACUGGAACUGAGACACGGUCCAGACUCCUACGGGAGGCAGCAGUGGGGAAUAUUGGACAAUGGGCGAAAGCCUGAUCCAGCCAUGCCGCGUGUGUGAAGAAGGUCUUCUGAUUGUAAAGCUACUUUAAGGUUGGGGGGAAGGCAGUAAGUUAAUACCUUGCUUGUUUUGACGUUACCGACAGAAUAAGCACCGGCUAACUCUGUGCCAGCAGCCG